GAUGAACGCUGGCGGCGUGCCUAAUACAUGCAAGUCGAGCGAGCGGACGAGAAGCUUUCUUCUCUGAUGUUAGCGGCGGACGGGUGAGUAACACGUGGAUAACCUACCUAUAAGACUGGGAUAACUUCGGGAAACCGGAUCUAAUACCGGAUGAUAUUUUGAACCGCAUGGUUCAAAAGUGAAAGACGGUCUUGCUGUCACUUAUAGAUGGAUCCGCGUUGCAUUAGCUAGUUGGUAAGGUAACGGCUUACCAAGGCAACGAUGCAUAGCCGACCUGAGAGGGUGAUCGGCCACACUGGAACUGAGACACGGUCCAGACUCCUACGGGAGGCAGCAGUAGGGAAUAUUCCGCAAUGGGCGAAAGCCUGACGCAGCAACGCCGCGUGAGUGAUGAAGGUCUUCGGAUCGUAAAACUCUGUUAUUAGGGAAGAACAUAUGUGUAAGAAACUGUGCACAUCUUGACGGUACCUAAUCAGAAAGCCACGGCUAACUACGUG
RNAcentral lists this ribosomal RNA (497 nucleotides) under uncultured bacterium. Its description in RNAcentral is "partial 16S ribosomal RNA". It matches the Rfam family "Bacterial small subunit ribosomal RNA", at positions 28 to 507 of the family's 1533-position model. The record is from RNAcentral.